AUCCUUCCGCAUUGGCCCCAGGGUUGCCGGGGCACCCCCGCGUGAGUAAUAAGGGUUUUCGGAUCGUAAAACUUGGUUUUUAGGGAAGAACAAGUAUCGAAGUAACUGCCGGUACCUUACCGGUACCUGACGAGAAAGCCACGGCUAACUCCGUGCCAGACGCCGCGGUAAUACGUAGGUGGCAAGCGUUGUCCGGAUUUAUUGGGCGUAAAGCGCGCGCAGGCGGUCUUUUAAGUCUGAUGUGAAAUCUUACAGCUUAACUGUAAGCGGUCAUUGGAAACUGGGAGACUUGAGUGCAGAAGAGGAGAGUGGAAUUCCAUGUGUAGCGGUGAAAUGCGUAGAGAUAUGGAGGAACACCAGUGGCGAAGGCGACUCUCUGGUCUGCAACUGACGCUGAGGCGCGAAAGCGUGGGGAUCAAACA
RNAcentral lists this ribosomal RNA (422 nucleotides) under uncultured bacterium. RNAcentral's name for it is "partial 16S ribosomal RNA". It matches the Rfam family "Bacterial small subunit ribosomal RNA", at positions 360 to 774 of the family's 1533-position model. The record is from RNAcentral.